Molecule: unclassified non-coding RNA, 2112 nt
Filed under: Octopus sinensis (East Asian common octopus)
Lineage: Eukaryota; Metazoa; Mollusca; Cephalopoda; Octopoda; Octopodidae
Description: uncharacterized LOC118761443, transcript variant X4
Source: RNAcentral
ACAUGGUUGGUACUUACGUUAAUGUUUCAAAGAAACCUACUGGCACGGAUGGUACUUACAUUAACGCUUCAAAUAAACCUGUUGGUUACCAAUGAAGGUCUAUGUUCUACAGAUGAACAAAAGGAACCUAGAACCUUCCAGAACUGAAUGAAACCUUGUGAGCAACCAAUCAGUCUCUUUGUCAUCAUUUCAUGGACACUUUUGCAAGCACUGAAGAUUUGAACUAAAUAUCUGAUACUACCAUAAAAUUAUUGAUUUCUGUUAUAUGCUAUAACUGCUUUGUUUUUGUAUAUAAUUCAUUGACAAUUUCUUGAUUUAUCUUCAGUCUUUAUAAAUGUCUAUCUAUAACUAAACAUUUGCAUCAAUGAAGUAAACCCAGUUAAAUUUCAGUAUUUCUUUCCUCUUAUAUGAGUCAUCAUCAUUUAAACACAGUAUGGAUAUUUAGCAACAUAGUUAUGAAUAUCAUUGAUUUUUGGAACAUAUUUUAGAAUAAUCUCUUGAAAAAAAAUUAAGAAUUUGUAUUCAUGCCAAUUUUCUACAAAUGACCAACAAUUAUGAUUUGGGUUUUUCCACAUUAAACAUAUUCUUGAAACCAUUUACAACUUCAUGAUUAAAAUUUGUGGUGUUCACUUUACAAAAGUUCAUUAUAUACUUUGUUAUUUUACUGCAUUGAAAUCAGUGUAUUCAGAUUUCAUUCUGUCACAUUUAUACAUACAUAAAUUCAGAAUUAUAAUCCUUGAUAUUAUCAAGUUUUAAAUUCAAUCUUUUCAGCCCUUUUAAAUCCAAGGUCAUUUUUUUAAAUACUAAAAUUAUGUGUACUAGAAUUCAUUUUUCUUCUUGGUGAUUGUGAAACUAUGUGUUUUUUAUACCCACAUUUAACCAUUCUUUCUAUAAAGAAAUACUUAUAUGCUAUACCAUUAUAAUAUACUUACUAAAAGAUCACUGUACAUAUAUGGAAUUCUUCCAACAAUAAUGCAUGUUAGAGAUGUUCCAAUGUUAAGUCUGUCAUUGCUUGUGAACAGUUAUCACAUUGUUCCUACAAAAGUGCUUGAUUAUUCUUGUCUUAAAUAAAUACCUUGAAAUAUUUAAUUUCUUACCAAUUCUAUUUUUCUAUUCAAAUAAAUAUGGAUUAUUGUGCAUUUUAAUUAGUAAUUUUAUCACUAUUUCAGCAAGUACUAUCAAGGCUAGUCUUUGCUAAUAAGGUCAUAAAUAAGCCAAAAUAUAUUCAGAGCUGAUAAAAAUAUCAAAAUAUUAUCAUUAAUUAAUAUCAUGAUGUUUUUAGCUGCUUAUUUAUUUCUAGUUUAUUUUCUAACUCUCUAUGCAUUAAAUAUGUUAUAACUAGCUUUUCUUUGUUUUCGUACCUAAAAACUAUCUCACAGACAUCAAGCUAAGUUACGAGAAGUUAAUAGAAGUCAAAUGCACUUAUGAACAAUUCGUAUCAUAUCCUAAGACAGACAAAGAUUUGUUCCUUUUUUAAUAAUAUUACAUAAGAAUGUAAAUACUGGCUUUUCAAGAACAGUUAAUUUCCUUUUGUUAUAAUUUAGUCAAUUCCCUUUCUCUCUCUCUCUCUCUCUCUCUCUCUCUCUCUCUCUCCUCUCUCUCUCUCUCUGUGCAUGUGUGUGUGUGUGUGUGUAAAACAGGCUUAAAGUAAGGUAUAAAUUAAAAAUACUAAAUUUGUAUUUUUUUGUAAGAUACAUAAUUUUUCUUCUUGUGUAUCUAUUCAGGCGGUCUAAGGUUUAUGUAAUCUAUUAGAAACUCUUACCCUUUCACACUGUCUCAUUUUCUUAUCUUUUCAUUUUCAUUUUCUUCAUUGUUACUUUUUCAUUUUCUCAUGUCUUGUUCAAUAAAUGCUUUUGACUUCUAUUAAUUUCUCUUAAUUUAGCUUAGUGUCCCCUAUUUUUUCUUCAAUUUUAUGUACAUUUUUUCAUACAUUGUUAUGAGCCUUACUCAUUGAUAUAACACAAUGUCUGCAGUAAGAUUUGAAUUCAUGACAAAGUGUUCACUACUUCAGUACUUUUACUUUUAUAUCUACUUUUCUUAACCCUAAUUUUGCUAACCGCUUUUAUUAUCGCUAUGAUUUUAACUCAGUAAAUAAAGAUGAAUUAUACAUUC